GGGGCUGAUCGGUUUCGACGUUGGAGCCAGGAUGCGCCGAAUGCGACCGGAGUUGCUCAGACUCCCAAAACGGGGCAACCAAAGAGACGCCAAAUCUGACGAUCUCGUUCUCGCCGCCUGAUAGUUUCAGGACAAAUCAGUAGGUAGAGAAUUAUCGCGACCAGCAAUGGCACGCGGGGCCGAAUUACCGCAGCCUGGCACCAGAAGCGGUAGUGGACAGCAGGCAAAGACCGCUGACAGACGGGAAAGACCUCUGACCUCAGUGAAAGCACUGAUGGCAGGCCUUUAGUGGCCUAGCUCACCCGGGGGCGCAGCAGCCAUAAGCUGCAAACACGGGAAUGGUCGUAGCAUGAGGGCAACCACCCAACGGACGAGGGUUCGAUUCCCUCCAGCUCCACCA
RNAcentral lists this transfer-messenger RNA (400 nucleotides) under Acidimicrobiales. RNAcentral describes it as "VXYK01 sp024421095 Standard tmRNA". It matches the Rfam family "transfer-messenger RNA". From Rfam's summary of the family: Bacterial tmRNA, also known as 10Sa RNA or SsrA, is named for its dual tRNA and mRNA-like properties. Its role is to liberate the mRNA from a stalled ribosome. The record is from RNAcentral. RNAcentral also lists the same sequence under 2 other names. Lineage: Bacteria; Bacillati; Actinomycetota; Acidimicrobiia.